Homo sapiens (human) is the source of this 84-nucleotide microRNA precursor. It matches the Rfam family "mir-548 microRNA precursor family". NCBI's taxonomy places the organism in Eukaryota, Metazoa, Chordata, Mammalia, Primates, Hominidae. The record is from Rfam.
UAUUAGGUUGGUGCAAAUGUAAUUGUGGUUUUUGCCAUUAAAAGUGAUAGCAAAAACCGCAAUUACAUUUGCACCAACCUAAUA